GACGAACGCUGGCGGUGUGCUUAACACAUGCAAGUCGAACGGAAAGGCCCUGCUUUUGUGGGGUGCUCGAGUGGCGAACGGGUGAGUAACACGUGAGUAACCUGCCCUUGACUUUGGGAUAACUUCAGGAAACUGGGGCUAAUACCGGAUAGGAGCUCCUGCUGCAUGGUGGGGGUUGGAAAGUUUCGGCGGUUGGGGAUGGACUCGCGGCUUAUCAGCUUGUUGGUGGGGUAGUGGCUUACCAAGGCUUUGACGGGUAGCCGGCCUGAGAGGGUGACCGGCCACAUGAGGACUGAGGUACGGCCCAGACUCGUACAGGAGGCAGCAGUGGGGAAUAUUGCACAGUGGGCGGGAGCCUGAUGCAGCAACGCCGCGUUCGGGAAGACGGCCUUCGGGUUGUAAACCGCUUUCGCCUGUGACGAAGCGUGAGUGACGGUAAUGAGUAAAGAAGCACCGGCUAACUACGUG
RNAcentral lists this ribosomal RNA (468 nucleotides) under uncultured bacterium. Its description in RNAcentral is "partial 16S ribosomal RNA". It matches the Rfam family "Bacterial small subunit ribosomal RNA", at positions 28 to 507 of the family's 1533-position model. The record is from RNAcentral.